GACGAACGCUGGCGGCGUGCCUAAUACAUGCAAGUCGAGCGAACCAAUAAGAAGCUUGCUUUUUGUUGGUUAGCGGCGGACGGGUGAGUAACACGUGGGUAACCUGCCUGUAAGACCGGGAUAACUCCGGGAAACCGGUGCUAAUACCGGAUAGAUUAUCUUUCCGCAUGGAGAGAUAAGGAAAGAUGGCUAUUGCCAUCACUUACAGAUGGGCCCGCGGCGCAUUAGCUAGUUGGUGAGGUAACGGCUCACCAAGGCGACGAUGCGUAGCCGACCUGAGAGGGUGAUCGGCCACACUGGGACUGAGACACGGCCCAGACUCCUACGGGAGGCAGCAGUAGGGAAUCUUCCGCAAUGGACGAAAGUCUGACGGAGCAACGCCGCGUGAGCGAAGAAGGUCUUCGGAUCGUAAAGCUCUGUUGUUAGGAAAGAACAAGUAUCGGAGGAAAUGCCGGUACCUUGACGGUACCUGACGAGAAAGCCACGGCUAACUACGUG
RNAcentral lists this ribosomal RNA (498 nucleotides) under uncultured bacterium. Its description in RNAcentral is "partial 16S ribosomal RNA". It matches the Rfam family "Bacterial small subunit ribosomal RNA", at positions 28 to 507 of the family's 1533-position model. The record is from RNAcentral.